This 866-nucleotide ribosomal RNA is filed under the name uncultured bacterium. RNAcentral describes it as "SSU rRNA". It matches the Rfam family "Bacterial small subunit ribosomal RNA", at positions 524 to 1381 of the family's 1533-position model. The record is from RNAcentral.
GACGAAGGUGACAAGCGUUGUUCGGUAUCACUGGGCUUAAAGCGUGUGUAGGCGGAAAGGUAAGCGUUUUGUGAAAGCCCCCGGCUCAACCGGGGAAUUGCUUGACGAACUCCCUUUCUUGAGGCAAGUAGGGGUGCACGGAACUCUUGGUGGAGCGGUGAAAUGCGUAGAUAUCAAGAGGAACGCCGGUGGAGAAAUCGGUGCACUGGGCUUGUUCUGACGCUGAGACACGAAAGCGUGGGAGCGAACGGGAUUAGAUACCCCGGUAGUCCACGCCGUAAACGAUGUCUACUAGGUUGUGGAGGUUCUGACACUUGCACGGCCGAAGCAAAAGUGCUAAGUAGACCGCCUGGGGAGUACGGCCGCAAGGCUAAAACUCAAAGGAAUUGACGGGGGCUCACACAAGCGGUGGAGCAUGUGGAUUAAUUCGAAGCAACGCGCAGAACCUUACCUGGGUUUGACAUGCUUGGAUGGCCGGCUGGAAACAGCUUGGCCUGCCCUUCGGGGUGAAACGAGCACAGGUGCUGCAUGGCUGUCGUCAGCUCGUGUCGUGAGAUGUCGGGUUAAGUCCUUUAACGAGCGAAACCCUUGCCGUUAGUUGCCAGCGGGUCAUGCCGGGGACUCUAACGGGACCGCCGGUGUCAAACCGGAGGAAGGUGGGGAUGACGUCAAGUCAUCAUGGCCUUUAUGCCCAGGGCGUCACACGUGCUACAAUGGCGGCCACAAAGCGAAGCAAGACCGUGAGGUGGAGCUAAUCGCAAAAAUGUCGCCCCAGUUCGGAUUGCAGGCUGCAAUUCGCCUGCAUGAAGUCGGAAUCGCUAGUAAUCGCGUAUCAGCCAUGACGCGGUGAAUGUGUUCCUGAGCCU